UACAGAGGUGGCAAGCGUUGUUCGGAUUUAUUGGGCGUAAAGGGUUCGUAGGCGGCUCGGAAAGUCAGAUGUGAAAUCCCACAGCUCAACUGUGGAACUGCAUUUGAAACUUCCGAGCUAGAGUAUGAGAGGGGUUAAGGGAAUUCCCGGUGUAAGGGUGAAAUCUGCAGAGAUCGGGAGGAACACCAGUCGCGAAGGCGCUUAACUGGCUCAUAACUGACGCUCAGGAACGAAAGCUAGGGGAGCAAACGGG
Molecule: ribosomal RNA, 253 nt
Filed under: uncultured bacterium
Lineage: Bacteria
Description: partial 16S ribosomal RNA
Rfam family: Bacterial small subunit ribosomal RNA
Source: RNAcentral